RNAcentral lists this ribosomal RNA (406 nucleotides) under uncultured bacterium. RNAcentral describes it as "partial 16S ribosomal RNA". It matches the Rfam family "Bacterial small subunit ribosomal RNA", at positions 29 to 526 of the family's 1533-position model. The record is from RNAcentral.
AUUGAACGCUGGCGGCAGGCCUAACACAUGCAAGUCGAACGAGUGGCGGACGGGUGAGUAAUGUCUGGGAAACUGCCCGAUGGAGGGGGAUAACUACUGGAAACGGUAGCUAAUACCGCAUACCAUCGGAUGUGCCCAGAUGGGAUUAGCUUGUAGGUGAGGUAACGGCUCACCUAGGCGACGAUCCCUAGCUGGUCUGAGAGGAUGACCAGCGACGUGGGAACUGAGAAACGGUGCAGGCUCCUACGGGGGGCAGCAGUGGGGAAUAUUGCACAAUGGGCGCAAGCCUGAUGCAGACAUGCCGCGGGUAUGAAGAAGGCCUUCGGGUUGUAAAGUACUUUCAGCGGGGAGGCGUUACCCGCAGAAGAAGCACCGGCUAACUCCGUGCCAGCAGCCGCGGUAAGAC